RNAcentral lists this ribosomal RNA (234 nucleotides) under uncultured bacterium. RNAcentral's name for it is "partial 16S ribosomal RNA". It matches the Rfam family "Bacterial small subunit ribosomal RNA", at positions 118 to 347 of the family's 1533-position model. The record is from RNAcentral.
UGGGUGAUCUGCCCUGCACUUUGGGAUAAGCCUGGGAAACUGGGUCUAAUACCGAAUAGGACUACGGCCUGCAUGGGUUGUGGUGGAAAGCUUUUGCGGUGUGGGAUGGGCCCGCGGCCUAUCAGCUUGUUGGUGAGGUUACGGCUCACCAAGGCGACGGACGGGUAGCUGGUCUGAGAGGAUGAUCAGCCACAGUUGGGACUGAGACACGGUCCAGACCUCCGUACGGGAGCA